UCGCGAGGGUGUUUGUCUUCCUGAAUUUUGGGCCCUUGGUCCGGCUGCCGGAUGGUGUUUCCCCGCCUCCGGUGCUUUGCUCUCCUGGUGGCUUUCGCCUGCUCCCCACCUUGAGCUGAGGGGCGUCGAGAGGCGGUGGGCGAGGCCAGGAGUUUGACGAGCCGCAGGCAAGGAGCUUCCCGUCCCGAAUCCCGGACCAGCCGUGCCCAAGACAGAGGUGGGAAAAUAGGCAUUCAAGCUGAGAUGGUAAUGAUGCUGAAACUGUCAACUUCUCCAAAACUUACUUGCAGUCUUCUGUUUUGACCAAGUUUUCACACUGUCUUAUGAAAUCAGAAAAGGACUGUUGCCCGGAUGCUAUGUGCUUCAGCUGGCCACAGCAGUGCUUUCAAGGUGGCCAGCUAACUUUUGUGAGUAGGUGUGAGUAGAAUUUUUUCGUUCAUCGUUAAAAUGAGUGACUGUUAUUUAGAGCAAAGAACUCAUGUUAAACUUUGUGUAAAGUUACUGAGACACUUGAAAUGUUAAAAGUAGCAUAUGGUGAAGAAGUAAUGUCAAGAGCAAGAGUUUUUGACUAGCACAAAAGGUUUAAAGGCAGAGGUGAUGUCCACUGUGAUGCAAGAGGCCCUCCGGUCACCCACAGAACACGUGAAAAUGUCCAGAGGGUCAGAAAUUUGGUUUGCUCAAACAGCCAAUUAACUGUAAGAAAAAUAACUGAAAAGCUAAAUUUAGACAAAGAAUCAGAUUAAUUCUGAAAGAAAACUUGCACUGGAGGAGUUUCGGGCAAGAUUCUCUCUCCUGCCAUUGUGGUUGAUGAUCAUGUAGAGGCCAAACUAAAAUAGAGCUGCACAGGAACCUGCCACGGGGGUGUGUAUUCAGGGCACAGUGCUAGUUUCAUUGUUCUUGAAGAAACUUCAGGCUGAAUCUAAAAUGAGCUGAGCUUCAAACAUUUUUCAUUGGCUUUGUAGGUACCUGAUUUAAGCAGAGUGAACCUGUAGAGUUGAGUGUGACAGAGUAGAGAGGAUGGAGCUAGUUCAUUAGGAGGAACUGGGAAGCUAAUGGGAAACUAUUAGCUCAGAAGGAGGAACUAAACAUGGGAGCACUUCUCAUUUCAUCAAAAUGAACUUAUUUGAAUAAUCAGUAAGUUACCUGCAGGUUGGGAGUUAAACCUUAAACAGGGAGCUAGAGAUCACUGUUACUCUGUAUGGAAAUAUCUCAAAAAAUACAGUGGCCACUUUCAGGCAAAAAAGACUUGUAAUAAUGAAACUCUUGUGGGAGAUUGAACUCAGAUAUUGGAAAAAGGUAUUCAAAUCUGUCAGCCGGAAAAAGGCUGCAAGGAGUGGUGGGCAGUGACACCUCCCCCCCAAUCAGGACCUGAUUUUGGUCAAAAGCUCAUAAAACCUUCUAUUCUUUAUGUAAUCUAAAUUCCAAUUUUAAACAUUUAUUUUUAGAUAUACUGUUCAGGUCUGCAAUUUGGUAUGAAAGGUAGACAAAUAGAGCUCAAUUUUGAGCCUAACUUAUUUCAUCAGAAUAAGUUUCCAUAGGUUGAAAGGAGUUUCAAAAGGCAUUACUCUGAGUAGCAACAAGGACUGAGUUUGACCUUCACAUUUUCCAUGCUGAACUUAAAUUUGAGUGUGGUGGUCAGAUCCUGAGCUCCAGCUCUAAUGCUAUUAAGUAUUCAAAGGGAAGGCAUCACUUUGAAUAUUCGAGAGGCCACAAAUAGCUUCAAGUCCGUUAUGGUCAAUUGGCAGUUUUGCUGAAACAUGGUCUCUGCCCCAGCUUCCUUACCAGUCUCUAGUAUGAUGCUGCAUCAUUCAGUAUCAGUGUUGCUGCAACCGAGAUACAGCACAAGUCCUGUACCUGGAGAACGUUAAGUCAGAGCCCUCUGGCAGUGACCCUGAGAAGACUAGUUAACUAUGCUAUUCCUUUUUUUAAGCAUCCCAGAAAUUCAAGUUUACAUUUCAUAAGAAACAUGAGCCAAAACUAAAUGAGGUCGUUUAUGGAAAAACUGUCUAAUUUUGACAGCCUUUGUUACCUCUGGGACACUGCUGAUCAAAGCUGCAGGGCCUACAAGGCAAAAACUACAAUUAGAGUAAUUUUUUCCUAUUGUCUUAGCUUCUGUUACUGAUUUUUUUUUUUACAACUUGAACUUUGGAUGCUGUUUUUAACUGUGUAAUGAAAUUUAUUAAAGUACACAUAAAUAAUUCACAUUCCAAUAAACCAUACAGAUUUUUA
Molecule: long non-coding RNA, 2229 nt
Organism: Camelus dromedarius (Arabian camel)
Lineage: Eukaryota; Metazoa; Chordata; Mammalia; Artiodactyla; Camelidae
Exons: 2
Source: RefSeq, a predicted model, not a curated record